AACGAACGCUGGCGGCAUGCCUAACACAUGCAAGUCGAACGAGACCUUCGGGUCUAGUGGCGCACGGGUGCGUAACGCGUGGGAACCUGCCCUUAGGUUCGGAAUAACUCCCCGAAAGGGGUGCUAAUACCGGAUAAUGUCUUCGGACCAAAGAUUUAUCGCCUUUGGAUGGGCCCGCGUUGGAUUAGCUAGUUGGUAGGGUAAAAGCCUACCAAGGCGACGAUCCAUAGCUGGUCUGAGAGGAUGAUCAGCCACACUGGGACUAAGACACGCCCAGACUCCUACGGGAGGCAGCAGUGGGGAAUAUUGGACAAUGGGCGAAAGCCUGAUCCAGCAAUGCCGCGUGAGUGAUGAAGGCCUUAGGGUUGUAAAGCUCUUUUACCCGGGAUGAUAAUGACAGUACCGGGAGAAUAAGCUCCGGCUAACUCCGUG
RNAcentral lists this ribosomal RNA (432 nucleotides) under uncultured bacterium. RNAcentral's name for it is "partial 16S ribosomal RNA". It matches the Rfam family "Bacterial small subunit ribosomal RNA", at positions 29 to 507 of the family's 1533-position model. The record is from RNAcentral.